Molecule: ribosomal RNA, 587 nt
Filed under: Morchella americana
Lineage: Eukaryota; Fungi; Ascomycota; Pezizomycetes; Pezizales; Morchellaceae
Description: eukaryotic LSU rRNA
Rfam family: Eukaryotic large subunit ribosomal RNA
Source: RNAcentral
GAGGAAAAGAAACCAACAGGGAUUGCCUCAGUAACGGCGAGUGAAGCGGCAAAAGCUCAAAUUUUAAAGCUGGCACCUCCGGUGUCCGCGUUGUAAUUUUGUGAGGCAUCUCCGGGUGGGGCGCCGGCCUAAGUUCCUUGGAACAGGACGUCAUAGAGGGUGAGAAUCCCGUGCUUGGCUGGCUGUCCCCGUCCAUGUGAGGUGUCUUCGACGAGUCGAGUUGUUUGGGAAUGCAGCUCAAAAUGGGUGGUAAAUUUCAUCUAAAGCUAAAUAUUGGUGGGAGACCGAUAGCGCACAAGUAGAGUGAUCGAAAGAUGAAAAGCACUUUGAAAAUAGAGUUAAAAAGUACGUGAAAUUGUUGAAAGGGAAGCGCUUGAGACCAGACUUCGGUGGGGAGUGAUCAGCCGUCCUUCUGGGCGGUGCACUUGCCCCCCUCCGGGCCAGCAUCGGUUGGGACGGCGGGAUAAAGGUCCCGGGAAUGUGGCUCCUCUCGGGGAGUGUUAUAGCCCGGGUGAAUGCCGCCAGCCCCGACCGAGGACCGCGCCUUCGGGCUAGGAUGCUUGGCAUAAUGGUCUUCAGCGACCCGU